AGCGAACGCUGGCGGUAUGCUUAACACAUGCAAGUCGAGCGCGAAAGUGACUUCGGUCAUAAGUAGAGCGGCGGACGGGUGAGUAACACGUGGAUAAUCUGCCUUUAGGACUGGGAUAACCCUGGGAAACUAGGGCUAAUACCGGAUAAGACCACAGGUUCCAUGGAACCAGGGGUAAAAGGCGGCCUUCGGGCUGUCGCCGAAAGAUGAGUCCGCGUCCCAUCAGGUAGUUGGUGAGGUAACGGCUCACCAAGCCGAAGACGGGUAGCCGACCUUAGCGGGUGAUCGGCCACACGGGGACUGAGACACGGCCCCGACUCC
RNAcentral lists this ribosomal RNA (321 nucleotides) under uncultured bacterium. RNAcentral's name for it is "bacterial SSU rRNA". It matches the Rfam family "Bacterial small subunit ribosomal RNA", at positions 29 to 339 of the family's 1533-position model. The record is from RNAcentral.